Molecule: ribosomal RNA, 109 nt
Filed under: Scophthalmus maximus (turbot)
Lineage: Eukaryota; Metazoa; Chordata; Actinopteri; Pleuronectiformes; Scophthalmidae
Source: RNAcentral
GCUUACGGCCACACCGCCUGGUUCACGCCGGAUCUCAGAAGCUAAGAUAGGUUGGGCCUGGUUAGUACUUGGAUGGGAGACCGCCUAGGAAUACCAGGUGCUGUAAGCC